Long non-coding RNA from Galeopterus variegatus (Sunda flying lemur), 848 nucleotides. RefSeq lists it as uncharacterized. The record is from RefSeq and is a predicted model, not a curated record. NCBI's taxonomy places the organism in Eukaryota, Metazoa, Chordata, Mammalia, Dermoptera, Cynocephalidae. The transcript is spliced from 3 exons.
CUAUCCUUUUUAUUGUAGUCAUUUUAGUAGGUGUGAAAUGGUAUCUCAUUGUGGUUUUGACUUGCUUUUUCCUAAAGACUGAUGAUGUUGCGUUUCAUGUAUUUAUUGGCCAUUUCUAUGUCUUCCUUGUAGAAAUAUCUAUUACCUCUUCUUUUUAUUAAGCAAAUGUCUUCAAUUUGCAGAGCCACUUUCUCCAAAGAACUAAGUAAUAGAUAAUAUUUGUCAACUGUACACUUACAUGCUAGGCGUUGUGCCACUAAUUUAUCUGUAUGUCCGUAUAAUCUUCAGCAACCUUCCAGGAGAUUAUCAUCCUCAUUUUACAGAUGAGAAAAAUGAGACUUAGGGCGGUUACAUGAUUUGCACACUGCUGGUGAGUGGUGUUGAGAGUCUGUUACACUCUAGUGUCUCCCUGCAUCUGAGUGAGCUGAUGGAAUUUCUGAGGUAGGGGAGAAUGGGAAAAUUUACAUGAGACUGCAGGUCUGCCAGUUCAGCCCUAGUGUCCUUUGAACCCUUUCUUCAUAGUGUGAAUUGGUGACUCUAUAGGCUGCAAACUUCUAUGUCUUAUUGAUUUCUUACUCUUCCUCUAGUACCACCUUCUGGGGAUCCUGCCCUUCCCCAAAAGGAAGACUCAGGAGAAGGAGGAAUGCAUUCUAGUCUCUGCACAACUGGGCACCAGCCUCUCGUGAACUGCAAGUUUGAACAAGGAGAAGGCGCAUGGCUGCUGGAGGGAGAAGACCUAAGUACUAGUCCAGCCACUGCUCUUGUGGGACCUCUGCAGGCCUCACUAGCUGGGGAUCCAGUCACUUUUGAUGUUGGAGACUUAAAGCAUCAAAAGUGCAAAGGAAUUA